AAGGGAAAAGGCACAGGGAGUGACUGUGGAUGGGAUCAGAGCGUUUUUGUUGAGACCUUGUCAGUGUUUGGCAUAUACAGGGCUGCCCUCCUCUGUUGUCUGUGCACCCAUCAGCUCCUGGGAGUCACUUUGAUGAAGGAAUCAGAGGAAAAUUGGAAAAUACCUUCAGCUCGAGGCCUGAGUCAAGUGCUGUUAUUAAUAGCGUGCUUAAUUACGAGUGGCAUCUAAAUCAGGAAUCAAAGCUUUUAGUGAUAUUUAAAGUCAGCAUCACACGCCGAAGAAAUUGUUGGCUGCUGCAAUCAGCAGUGAUGAACAAUCAUUAUGAAGUGCAAAAGGAGCGUUGUUAAUACGAGGCUACAUCUCCAGGCACAAGCUGAAGAACAGGAGGAAGAGCAAAGCAAGAGAUUCCCAUGCUGCGACCAUGGAGCGCAGGAAGCUGCAGAGCUCUGCAGCCGUCUGAACUCCGAGUGAUGUUUGACCUCAGAUGAUGAACAGGAGCUUUGCCUUCUUGCUGUGCAAUGCCAGAUCACCAGAAAAGGCCUUAGCUAAUGCUUGUAAUGAUAUCGUGGCUCAGGUUGGCUGUGUGAGCGGGUUGUGUGCUACUUACCAGCAGAAGGUGAUGGGAUUCAAUGGAGACACAUAUCUAAAUUUCCAAACCUCCAGGAACAACAAAGAACUCUAGUUCCAAGAAGAAAUUCAGGCUAUCUCCUCCUUAAAAACAUGACACUUAUUAAACAAACCGAAACAAAUACUUUUUCUUUUCUUUCUUCCAUGUUCUGCUUCUGCAUGCUGGGACAGAGCGAGAACUGCGGUCAUGGAGUGAGAAGGCUCCUAGAAGGGAUCCUGGACUGCUCACGUCCCCCUCUGACUAUACUGAAGAACAGCUGAGGUUCCUCUCGCUGAAGGGCUGAAUUCGGAUGAGAAAACCACUGUAACACUGGUUCCUGCUAUUCAGUGUGAAUAACCAAAGCCAGGUGAGCACGUAGAUUCUGUGGCACAUACUGAAUGCCUGGAGACCAACAACAGAGCUGAAAUGGAAUUCCUCUAUUUCAGGCAGUCCACCGCAACAAAUAAGGGACUUAACAAAAAGAAAAGCUAUAAAAAUAAAGGAGAAAAAGUGAUUUGUAUUCGGAGGAGUGAUGAGUGCGACUUCAUUGAAAGCCAGCCUAGCACACAUGCAGAACUGCCUGAGUGCAGCUCUGAGCACUGCGUUCUCUGAUCAGGUAGGAACUAUUUGCUAAGUGCAAAAGUUGGAAAAUUUUGUAGCUGUUUAACAGCAAAUCACAAAUCUGUCCUCAUUUAUUUUUGCCAACACAUUUAUUAUCGAAAGAUGGUUUGGUGAGUGCCAUAAGUAC
Tympanuchus pallidicinctus (lesser prairie-chicken) is the source of this 1355-nucleotide long non-coding RNA. RefSeq lists it as uncharacterized. Lineage: Eukaryota; Metazoa; Chordata; Aves; Galliformes; Phasianidae. The transcript is spliced from 5 exons. The record is from RefSeq and is a predicted model, not a curated record.